GCCUUCGUGGCGUAGUGGUUAGCCCACUCGGCGCGUAUGCGAGAGGUUCGUGGAUCGAGUCCCGGCGAGGGCA
This 73-nucleotide transfer RNA is filed under the name Stegodyphus mimosarum. It matches the Rfam family "tRNA". From Rfam's summary of the family: Transfer RNA (tRNA) molecules are approximately 80 nucleotides in length. Their secondary structure includes four short double-helical elements and three loops (D, anti-codon, and T loops). The record is from Rfam by way of RNAcentral. Lineage: Eukaryota; Metazoa; Arthropoda; Arachnida; Araneae; Eresidae.